RNAcentral lists this long non-coding RNA (1155 nucleotides) under Canis lupus familiaris (dog). RNAcentral describes it as "lncRNA (ENSCAFG00030012188.1)". The record is from RNAcentral. Lineage: Eukaryota; Metazoa; Chordata; Mammalia; Carnivora; Canidae.
CGGGUGGGACGGAGGACCCCGGCGGUCUCCCAGACAAAGGGGGCGGCCAGGGAGGCGGCGGCCGCGGGGCCUCCAGGCGCCCCCAGGCGCCCCCAGGCUGGAGGAGGAGCCGGGGCUAAGGGGAGGAGGGGGCGGUGCCCGGGCCCCGCAGGCACGUGCCGCGCCCUCCCGGGGACCCGCGCCCGCCCGCCACCGUCAGUACCGGCCUCGUCUGGGCGGCCCGUCACGUCGCAGACGGGCGGCCUCCCGGGGGGACGGGGUAGGCCCCAGACCCAUAGCCUGGGGGCCACCGCGGGAGCCGACGAGCGUCCGGGUGCGCUGGGCGCGGGCGCCGAGAGCCGGAGGGCGGGGUCCCGCCCCUGCCUGGGCGCGGCGCCCCGCCCCCGCCACCUGGGAGCCCCGCCCCGCCCCCGCCACCUGGGGGAUCCCGCCUCCGCCGGCGCGGUCGGGACGGGGUCUCCCGGAACCGCAGCCCCCCACCGUUUCCUCCCGGCCUCGCGGUCGCCCCUGCACUUCCGGCGCGGGACCCCCGCCCCCGCCCCCGCCCCCGCCCUCGCCCGCCCCACGCGCAGUUUCGAGCCCCCGGGGGCCGAGCCACUCACCGCGCCAAGUCCCCGCCGUGACCUCGCGCCGCCUGGGCGCAGCUCCGGGUGGUCUCAGGUCCGCGCCCCCGCCCGGCCCCACCCCACCCGCUCCCCGCCGUCCAAUCCGUCGCCGAGCUCCAAGCCACGCCCUGAUCCGACCGGGCUCCCACCGCCGGGACCCCCGCCCCGCCUCCGCUUCCCCGGCCCCGAGAUACCGCGCGCGCGGCCCCCGGGGCCCCACGGACCUCUCCGGCCCCAGCUGACCCUCGGGCCGCGCUCAAGUUUCUGGAAAUCCCACCCCCACGCCCUGCGCCCGCGGCCGCGCUGCCCCCUGCCCGGCCCGGCUGAUGGCGGCCCUAGGCUCCCACGGCCCAGAGCACACAGCCCCAUUGUCCCGGUUAUCUGCACUUGUUAUAUUUGUUUGAUUAUGCAGGACCGGAUCGGGGACGUGGAGCUCCGGGAGGGACGGGCCGUUGUGACUCAGCCGGGUGCCCGGGCCCAGCCCGUACUUCUUGUAGGUGCUCAAGGAUGUUUGGGGAUGAAAGGGGGCCUUAGUUCCUCCAGUGGGUAA